Non-coding RNA from Acanthosepion pharaonis, 113 nucleotides. NCBI's taxonomy places the organism in Eukaryota, Metazoa, Mollusca, Cephalopoda, Sepiida, Sepiidae. The record is from the annotation of a GenBank genome assembly.
UUACGGCCAUGACAUGUUGAAACACCGGUUUCCGUAUGAUCAUCGAAGUUAAGCAACGUCGAGCCUGGGUGGCGCCUAGAUGAGUGAUCGCUUGCGGAUACCAUGUGCUGUAU